CCCGACUGCUAUUUGGGUGAGGAUAAGCCAUGCGAGUUGAAUGGGAUACCUAAAGUUCCCAUAGCAAACUGCUCAGUAACACAUGAUCAACUUACCCUAUAGAGAAAAAUAACCUCGGGAAACUGAGGGUAAUGUUUCAUAAUUGAAUUGGCUUGGAAAAGUUUUUCAAUGAAAGGGAUAAAAAAAAUGGUUUUUAUCUGCUAUAGGAUAGGAUCGUGUUCGAUUAUGGUUGUUGGUGAGAUAAUGGCUCACCAAGCCGAUAAUCGAUAGGGGCCGUGAGAGCGGGAGCCCCGAGAUGGGUACUGAGACAACGACCCAGGCCUUACGAGGCGCAGCAGGCGCGGAACCUCCGCAAUACACGAAAGUGUGACGGGGUUACCCAAAGUGUUCAAUAGAACUGUGGUGGGUGAGUAAUGUUCCCUACUAGAAAGGAGAGGGCAAGGCUGGUGCCAGCCGCCGCGGUAAAACCAGCUCUUCAAGUGGUCGGGAUAAUAUUGGGCUUAAAGUGUCCGUAGCCGGUUUAGUAAGUUCCUGGUAAAAUCGGGUAGCUUAACUAUCUGCAUGCUAGGAAUACUGCUAUACUAGAGGGCGGGAGAGGUCUGAGGUACUACAGGGGUAGGGGUGAAAUCUUAUAAUCCUUGUAGGACCACCAGUGGCGAAGGCGUCAGACUGGAACGUGCCUGACGGUGAGGGACGAAAGCCAGGGGAGCGAACUGGAUUAGAUACCCGGGUAGUCCUGGCCGUAAACGAUGCAUACUAGGUGAUGGCAUGGCCAUGAGCCGUGUCAGUGCCGUAGGGAAACCGUUAAGUAUGCCGCCUGGGAAGUACGGUCGCAAGGCUAAAACUUAAAGGAAUUGGCGGGGGAGCACCACAAGGGGUGAAGCUGCGGUUCA
Molecule: ribosomal RNA, 893 nt
Filed under: uncultured archaeon
Lineage: Archaea
Description: bacterial SSU rRNA
Rfam family: Archaeal small subunit ribosomal RNA
Source: RNAcentral